This 22-nucleotide non-coding RNA is filed under the name Arabidopsis thaliana (thale cress). Lineage: Eukaryota; Viridiplantae; Streptophyta; Magnoliopsida; Brassicales; Brassicaceae. The record is from RNAcentral.
UAGGAGGUUCUACAACAUUAGA